RNAcentral lists this ribosomal RNA (355 nucleotides) under uncultured bacterium. Its description in RNAcentral is "partial 16S ribosomal RNA". It matches the Rfam family "Bacterial small subunit ribosomal RNA", at positions 338 to 685 of the family's 1533-position model. The record is from RNAcentral.
CCUACGGGAUGCAUCAGUGGGGAAUAUUGCGCAAUGGGCGAAAGCCUGACGCAGCGACGCCGCGUGAGGGAUGAAGGUCUUCGGAUCGUAAACCUCUGUCAGCAGGGAAGAACGGUCACUGUGCUAAUCAGCCGUGAAUUGACGGUACCUGCAACGGCAGCACCGGCUAACUCCGUGCCAGCAGCCGCGGUAAUACGGAGGGUGCGAGCGUUCAUCGGAAUUACUGGGCGUAAAGCGCUCGUAGGCGGUAUGUCAAGUCAAGGGUGAAAUCCCCGCGCUCAACGUGGGAACUGCCUUUGAAACUGGCAAACUGGAGUGUGUGAGAGGAUAGUGGAAUUCCAGGUGUAGGAGUGAA